UACGAAGGGGGCUAGCGUUGUUCGGAGUCACUGGGCGUAAAGGGCGCGUAGGCGGCUUUAUAAGUCGGGGGUGAAAGCCUGUGGCUCAACCACAGAAUUGCCUUCGAUACUGUAGAGCUUGAGACCGGAAGAGGUAAGUGGAACUGCGAGUGUAGAGGUGAGAUUCGUAGAUAUUCGCAAGAACACCAGUGGCGAAGGCGGCUUACUGGUCCGGUUCUGACGCUGAGGCGCGAAAGCGUGGGGAGCAAACAGG
This 253-nucleotide ribosomal RNA is filed under the name uncultured bacterium. Its description in RNAcentral is "partial 16S ribosomal RNA". It matches the Rfam family "Bacterial small subunit ribosomal RNA", at positions 524 to 776 of the family's 1533-position model. The record is from RNAcentral.